CUCCAGUCGAACGGUUUAACUGGCCUUCAUUAAUGAAUCUGACAUUUCCUCUGCCCAAGACCACUGAAAAGUAAAAGCAAAUCCCCUAAAAUCUUUUGCUUAUCUGUUAGCUUUUCAAUCGGCACCAUUUCUUUCAUUUCAAACGUCACAACACUAUGCCAAAAUCCAAAGUUGUUUCCCCUUUUCUUUUACUCUGAAAAACCCAAGCGAUUUUACUGCAAUUCUCCUUCAGAUGAACUUGAAAUCCCUCCCUCCAGAUGCAACGUUGUCAUGAAGAAUUGAUUUAGCUGCAACGAUUCUGCCCCCUCAUUUUUAAAUACUAGGCCUGACGUAGAUCUGGAGUUUUGUGAGUCAAAAGCUGCAUUGAAAAAGAUAGCCGUAUUCGCCCUUUGUAUACUUUGUCUAUGCCUCGCGUUGGCUUCCAAGUUGAGUUCCCUGUCUUGAAUACCUUCCAAUUCUAAAAUUUAGCUUUAAUUUGUUUGGAUAUGUCCUAAUUGGUGCUUGGUUUGCCUUCGUAUAAUAAUUUAUUUCUAUUUGUCUAGAUUAGCCAGAGCCCACAACAAAACAUUCUGCACUGCUCGUUUGUCCCUUGGCUGAAAACCCAGGAAAAAUUUAAGUGACUCCAUAUUUCUUUCACAGUAGGGCACAGUUGGAAGACGUGGUUGCUAUCUUCUUCUCCUUGGCCACAUCUCAUACAUCGAUCCUCAGUCAUCACUUUUCUCAGCUUUAGAUUGGAGAAAGUGAGGAUGUAAUUUCAUGCUAUUUUCGACACUGUAAUUUUGAUUUUUGAGGGCAUGUGUAAAUUCCACAAUUUCCUGUAGAAACUUUUAGUAUUGGUCUGUAAAUAAAAACUAGGAUCUAUAUUAGCCUCCUGUAAUAGUUUAUAGGCACUCCUUACUGAAAAGUCUCCAGUUGCCUCCCCUCUCCACACUUAGGAAGUCUUCAUUGGUUGACUUUGAAAGCGGAAUCUGCAAUAUUUUCCUAGCAAUAUCCGUAUUGAAGGAAAAGCUUCAAGCUUUGGUUCUUCUUUGGAUGAUGCAUGAUCAAGAUCGGGUGGAAAAUCGAGGAGAAUGAACAAUUACCAAAAUGACCUUGUACUUUGACAUUUCUGCAAUUUAGCCAGAGUACAUUCGUGCUUUGGUAUAUUAUGGGGAUUUGGAGUGGAGACGGUAUUGGAGGGAGAUAUCAAUAUAUUACCCAAGUAAAUUGAAGUUCAGCAUUUGUUGCGAACUCUCGUGUUAUGCUUUCUAUUUAGCAUGAUUCGGGUGGACAGCUCUUUAGAGCUUUUGUUUAGCUCUUUUGUGCUUCUGUUCAGCUCUUAUGAGCUUCUGUUGGCGUGUUCGAGAGGAACAGCUCUUAUGAGCUUCUAUUGACGAUGUACUCUUAUAUGUAAGUCGUUCUUCGAAUGGAAAAUCUCAGUAAGGUAAUCUGUUUAAUGAA
Molecule: long non-coding RNA, 1440 nt
Organism: Gossypium raimondii (Peruvian cotton)
Lineage: Eukaryota; Viridiplantae; Streptophyta; Magnoliopsida; Malvales; Malvaceae
Exons: 5
Source: RefSeq, a predicted model, not a curated record